CCUACGGGAGGCAGCAGUGAGGAAUAUUGGUCAAUGGACGAGAGUCUGAACCAGCCAAGUAGCGUGAAGGAUGACUGCCCUAUGGGUUGUAAACUUCUUUUAUAAAGGAAUAAAACGAGGCACGUGUGCCUUUUUGCAUGUACUUUAUGAAUAAGGAUCGGCUAACUCCGUGCCAGCAGCCGCGGUAAUACGGAGGAUCCGAGCGUUAUCCGGAUUUAUUGGGGUUAAAGGGAGCGUAGAUGGGUUGUUAAGUCAGUUGUGAAAGUUUCGGGCUCAACCGUAAAAUUGCAAUUGAUACUGGCAUUCUUGAGUACAGUUGAGGUAGGCGGAAUUCGUGGUGUAGCGGUGAAAUGCUUAGAUAUCACGAAGAACCCCGAUUGCGAAGGCAGCUUACUAAACUGUGACUGACAUUGAUGCUCGAAAGUGUGGGUAUCAAACAGGAUUAGAUACCCUUGUAGUC
RNAcentral lists this ribosomal RNA (460 nucleotides) under uncultured bacterium. Its description in RNAcentral is "partial 16S ribosomal RNA". It matches the Rfam family "Bacterial small subunit ribosomal RNA", at positions 338 to 795 of the family's 1533-position model. The record is from RNAcentral.